RNAcentral lists this long non-coding RNA (429 nucleotides) under Rattus norvegicus (Norway rat). Its description in RNAcentral is "long non-coding RNA NONRATT005062". Lineage: Eukaryota; Metazoa; Chordata; Mammalia; Rodentia; Muridae. The record is from RNAcentral.
UCACCAUCCUCUUUCUCCACGCCACCCAGAAGGACCUGUCAGACUUCCACCAGUCCAUGGCGUGAGUACACUAACCCCGCUCAGAAUCCCGAGGAGACCUCUGUGCCCUGCCCCGCCCACCUCCAGGCUGGCGGCUCAAAGCACGACUCUCCAGAGUGUGCUCUGGGGUCCAAGCUGUGUUUUCUUUUUUUUAAGUUUGGAGUCCAUUAACACACUUUCAAAUCUGGAGAUUUUGUGCACAACUGAUUCUAGCUGUCCUAUGCAUGCACUAGGAGUGCUGGAAUUGCGUGUCCAACAGAGAAGGGUACUGUGUCCUUCUUUUCAGAGCAAAUCCCCAGACCCCCAGGUCACUCACUGACCUUGUCUCUAUCUCUCAAGUCCUUGCCUCUGCUGCACUCCAUUUCCCAAAGCCAUAGGCUCCGGGCAGCA